GAUGAACGCUGGCGGCGUGCCUAAUACAUGCAAGUCGAGCGAACAGACGAUGCGCUUGCUCCUCUGACGUUAGCGGCGGACGUGUGUGUCACACGUGUAUCACCUACCUAUCAGACUGGUAUAACUUCGGGACACCGGCUCUUAUACCGGAUAAUCUCUUGAACCACAUGGUUCAAUAGUAAAAUACGGUUUUUCUGUCUCUUCUCGCUGCAUCCGGGCCGCAUUAGAUAGUUGUUACUGUAAAGGCUUACCACGGCGAGGAUGCGUAGACGACCUAAGAGGGGGGUAGGCCACACGGGAGGGGGGCCAGGGUCAAGACUACUACGGGAGGCAGCAGUAGGGAAUCGUACGCAAUGGGCGAAAGCAUGACGGAGCAAGGCCGAGUGAGUGAUGAAGGUCUUCGGAGCGUAAAAAUCGGUUAUGAGGGAAGAACAAAUGUGGAAGUAAAUAUGCACGGAGUGACGGUAACUAAUAAGAAAGCAACGGCUAACUACGUG
This 497-nucleotide ribosomal RNA is filed under the name uncultured bacterium. RNAcentral describes it as "partial 16S ribosomal RNA". It matches the Rfam family "Bacterial small subunit ribosomal RNA", at positions 28 to 507 of the family's 1533-position model. The record is from RNAcentral.